Long non-coding RNA from Equus asinus (donkey), 1957 nucleotides. NCBI's taxonomy places the organism in Eukaryota, Metazoa, Chordata, Mammalia, Perissodactyla, Equidae. The record is from Ensembl.
UUACUGUAUUUGUUUUAGAUAAUCAUGUGUUACGAAAAGAAUAUUUUUAAGAAAUUUGUAGCAGUAAUGAAGUAAAAAGAAUUCAGUGUAUGUCAGAUACACCAAGCUGUUGAUGGAAUUCACAUGUGAUUUAAGUUAGUUUUUCUGUACACAUUAUUGAUUACUGGUUUGUUCGAGUCCACUGAACAGCUCGUGUGUUGGCAGCCACUGUGGUAAUCAUGGAAUGUUAGUGCUGAUCACUUGGUGGACAUUUUUUUCCUGCCUGUUUUGUUUCCCCCUCAAGUAACUAGUAGGUGUAUAUUACUUUUUUUGGUGAACUUGUUUCUUAAAAGAUUUGCCUGUGCUAUUCAGGUUUUUUAUUAUUAUGUUUUUCUUCUAAAUUUAAGUGUCAGAUGGCUGCUGCUCCCAGCAAAGACUAUAUGAAAGCUAAAAUCUACUGCUUUGUUGAAAAAUCAGCUAAUUCAGGUAAUCUAAAUAUUUGUAGGAAAACAGCUGGAUAAUUUUUAAUCACAUUAGCAUCAUGUAGGCAGCUUUCAUAAUCAUUGCAUAGGUUUUCAUUGUUGGAGUAGUCAACUUGAUAGUGAUUUACUUUUACUAUGCUUUGCAUAUAAAAUACUCAAUAAAAAAAGUAAAUUUUCAUUUAUUUUUUAGUCCUGUUAAUUAUUUUUUCCUUCCUGUACUAGCAGUAAAACUCUGACCAUGAGUUUUACUUUUGAAUUAAAGGAUAAUGCCAAUAUUUUAAUUAACUUAUGUGCUUCUUACUGAAACAGUGUGCAGUACUUUAAAAUCUUUAUUUAGCACAUUAAUUGUAGAAGGAAUAAUGUUUUAAACAAAAAUAUAGUGUUGAUAAGAUCUGGGUGCAUUAGUGGUGGAGCCCUUUAUCUUAGACUUCAUCAAAUCCCUGUUUUUUUCUUUUAGAUUCACUUUGUACAUGCACACAAUUCUGUCAGUAGCUAUAAACCGCCCACAUACUUUCUUUAUCUCGUGCCUCUAGCUUCUCUUUUCACCUCUACCAGAGGUUACAUUUUAUCUCUGGUCAGCUUCUUGGAAAGAAUUAUGUAACUUGGGACCUUCAUGUUUACUGUGGACUGAUGAUCAUAUCCUUUACAAUCCAUUUAUUUUAUUUUGAUGUCUAUCCAGAUACAGUUAAAAAGAAGCUAGAAUGCAAAACUUCCCUCUUAAUCCUGGGCCAAAUGCACAGUUUUACUCUCACUUUCAAAAAACUUCUGUGACCAAAUAAAGAUGCUUUUAAUAAAGGAAACAGCUCUCUACUUGGUGUUGGAUUGUUUAGCAAUGAAAAAAAUUAAGCCAAUUAGGAAAGGUAGAUUGAACUUUGACUUUAUACAUAUGAAACAAAAACAAAGUAAGAGUUUUGAGUGCUUUAUGUGUUUUUCAUGUUAAAGUGUAUACAGUUAUUCAGUAUAUAUUAUAGUCUUAACCUGGUUGCUAUCUCUGUUUAGGUAUACCAUGGGGCAUGAAAUUCACAAUCUUUAUAUUAUGUUAUAGGCUUUUAUCCAGAGAAAAAUUUGCAUUUUAAAAUGUGAACUAUUUGGGGCCAAGCCUGUUGGCACAGUGGUUAAGUUCAUAAGUGCUUUGGCAGCCCAGGGUUUGCUGGUUUGGAUUCCAGGUGCAGACCUUCGAACUGCUUGUCAAGCCAUGCUGUGGCAGGCAUCCCACAUAUAAAGCAGAGGAAGACGGGCAUAGAUGUUAGCUCAGGGCUAGUCUUCCUCAGAAAAAAAAAAAUGUAUAUAUAUAUAUAUAUACACACACACACACACACACAUAUAUAUAAAAUAAAAUGUGAACUGUUUACUGUGGUUAGACAAAGGAAGAUGAUGUCACCAGUGAUCAUUUUAGCUUUAUGGAAGCAAAUUAUUAAGAAAAACUAAUAGAAAGGUAUCAUUUCUUUUAUUCUUGUAGUACAGAAGUAUAAACAGAUAUCAGUCAAAAGCAUAGG